GCUUACGGCCACACCGCUGGUUCACGCCCGAUCUCGUUUGAUCUCGGAAGCUAAGAUAGGUUGGGCCUGGUUAGUACUUGGAUGGGAGACCGCCUGGGAAUACCAGGUGCUGUAAACU
This 118-nucleotide ribosomal RNA is filed under the name Scophthalmus maximus (turbot). Lineage: Eukaryota; Metazoa; Chordata; Actinopteri; Pleuronectiformes; Scophthalmidae. The record is from RNAcentral.